AGAUCCCGAUCCAGCGAUCGUCUAUGAAGGACAGAAGCUCGUCCUGCGCUGUCUCGUCAGGAAGGGGACGCAUCUGUCCUUCACAUGGUACCACGACACACAGUUAGUGAACUCCUCGUCAGAGCUCCACCGGCUCUCCGGAGACGCUCUCACGGUGGACGGGGCGACUGAAAUGCAUGCUGGGAUAUACUCAUGCACAGCUCAAAACCAGAUGACCGUCAACCCCAGAUUCUCCAGCAGCCGAAACCUCCACGUCACUGUCAAAAAGCGCAUCUCGGCGCCCUCGUUAUCGUUUACGGUCUUCUCUAACGGCUCCAGCCUGACGGCCAACAUCAGCUGCCGUUCUGAGCGUGGAUCUCCGCCCGUGACGUUCAGAUUGAUGUUGGACGGACUGGAGCUGGAUGUGAAGCGAGUGGAUUCACUAGAGUCCUGGUUCGUUCUGCCGAUCUCUGUGGGUCUGGAUCUGGGAGCCGCUCGAUGUAAAGCACAAACGGAAACACAGCAGCUGCUGUCUGAUCCCGUGCGUUUACUCGUAGUUCCAGUAGGUGGCGCUGUGCGUGUCACAGUAACGUACCUCCACGACGCCGACGGGACGGUGGCAGCCGCUCGGCUCAAAUGUGUCCCAGACAUAGGAACGUUUCCCACAUUCUCCUGGCGUCUGAACCAUUCCUCCCUUCCAGCAGAGGGCGACGCUCACGCGGUCACUCAUCACGGUCAGAUCUUGAUCCUCACAGAUGUCAGCGCUGGGUUUUACCGCUGCAGGGUGAGGGACAGUUUUAACGACAGCUCAGUCUGGGUGGAGAGCGAGGACAUCUUUAUUCAGAAGACAGAGGACGUGAUCCAGUCUGAGAUGAUAACAAUGAAUGAUCCUGUAGCUGAUGUUUCCUCUGAACCUCAACCUGUGGAAAUGAAACAGUCAUCAUGGAGUUUGAGGCCUAGAGGUCUAGACCAGUGUCCUGCAGAGACGUCUUGAAGAUUCUAGAAAUCCUGAACACUUUGAUUAGCUCUUUAAUUAAGGUGAAAGAUGAACUCUGACUGGACAUCAAUCACUACUGAGCCAUUUUCCUGUUUUUAAAUUGUUUUCUAUCAAUGAGAUUGUAAGGCUUUUAUAUACCAAAUAAAUGUUUAAUUUAUCAAAUGCUUCUACUGAAUAUAUGCUUUCUAUGGAGAGAGAUUC
Molecule: long non-coding RNA, 1177 nt
Filed under: Sinocyclocheilus anshuiensis
Lineage: Eukaryota; Metazoa; Chordata; Actinopteri; Cypriniformes; Cyprinidae
Description: lncRNA (ENSSANG00000015922.1)
Source: RNAcentral